GAGCAAGCACCAGAAGCACCAGGCUUUCGAAGCAGAGCUGCAUGCCAAUGCUGACCGGAUCCGCGGGGUUAUCGACAUGGGCAACUCCCUCAUUGAACGUGGAGCCUGUGCCGGCAGUGAGGAUGCUGUCAAGGCCCGCCUGGCUGCCUUAGCUGACCAGUGGCAGUUCUUGGUGCAAAAGUCAGCUGAAAAGAGCCAGAAACUGAAAGAAGCCAACAAGCAGCAGAACUUCAACACAGGGAUCAAGGACUUUGACUUCUGGCUGUCUGAGGUGGAGGCCCUGCUGGCAUCUGAAGAUUAUGGCAAAGACCUGGCUUCUGUGAACAACCUGCUGAAAAAGCAUCAACUGCUGGAAGCAGAUAUAUCUGCCCAUGAGGAUCGCCUGAAGGACCUGAACAGCCAGGCAGACAGCCUGAUGACCAGCAGUGCCUUCGACACCUCCCAAGUAAAGGACAAGAGGGACACCAUCAACGGGCGCUUCCAGAAGAUCAAGAGCAUGGCGGCCUCCCGGCGAGCCAAGCUGAAUGAAUCCCAUCGCCUGCACCAGUUCUUCCGGGACAUGGAUGACGAGGAGUCCUGGAUCAAGGAGAAGAAGCUGCUGGUGGGCUCUGAGGACUACGGCCGGGACCUAACCGGCGUGCAGAACCUGAGGAAGAAGCACAAGCGGCUGGAGGCAGAACUGGCCGCGCAUGAGCCGGCUAUUCAGGGUGUCCUGGACACUGGCAAGAAACUGUCCGAUGAUAACACCAUUGGGAAAGAGGAGAUCCAGCAGCGGCUGGCGCAGUUUGUGGAGCACUGGAAAGAGCUGAAGCAGCUGGCAGCUGCCCGGGGUCAGCGGCUGGAAGAGUCCUUGGAAUAUCAGCAGUUCGUAGCCAAUGUGGAAGAGGAGGAAGCCUGGAUCAAUGAGAAAAUGACCCUGGUGGCCAGCGAAGAUUAUGGCGACACUCUUGCCGCCAUCCAGGGCUUGCUGAAGAAACAUGAAGCUUUUGAGACAGACUUCACCGUCCACAAGGAUCGCGUGAAUGACGUCUGCACCAAUGGACAAGACCUCAUUAAGAAGGUUUAGAGCUACCAACUAGAUCAAACAGCCGCAGAGAUUCCCGUUUAAUAGGAUCAUAUCACUCUAUAAAUUAUCAAAAACCUAGAGGCUGUACAGGGCAUUUUAGAAAUGAAUCUAUUUCAUUCACAGCCCGUUUGGGAGAAAACAAAAUAAAGGGGCUUGGUGCUUUCUCAGCAGCAGCGAAGCCACGUCCCUCCCACACAGAAGCUCUAGACUGAAGGCAGUGUGUCCAUGGUUCGGGAAUUCACCAGCAAUCACUCAGGUGCAGUGAUGUACCUGGAGUGCCUCAGGACAGAGGUUUUAACAGCUGUGGUUUCCUGUCACACCCACAUCAUGAGUAAGAUUUCUCAUCACAGAGGUCGCACUCAGCAGUCAUGGCCUUCAGACUAGGGUUUGAUCCAUAGGCGGCAACAAUGUAGCUAAAAUCCACUUCACUGGAGA
Molecule: small RNA, 1501 nt
Filed under: Pongo abelii (Sumatran orangutan)
Lineage: Eukaryota; Metazoa; Chordata; Mammalia; Primates; Hominidae
Description: processed transcript
Source: RNAcentral